GGCGGCCGCAUUCUUCUCCCCUCAGCGGCGAUCCACUGUCCUCUUCGGCUAUGACGAAGCGCACCAAGAAGGCCGGUAUUGUCGGCAAAUAUGGUACGAGAUAUGGUGCAAGUUUGCGUAAACAAAUUAAGAAGAUGGAAGUCUCUCAACAUGCCAAGUAUUUCUGUGAGUUCUGCGGAAAGUAUUCCGUCAAGCGAAAGGCUGUUGGAAUCUGGGGCUGUAAGGACUGUGGUAAAGUGAAGGCUGGGGGUGCUUAUACCCUGAACACUGCCAGUGCGGUCACUGUGAGGAGCACAAUUCGUCGUCUGAGAGAACAGACUGAAAGUUGAUCAUAGCAUUUUGGCCCGAGGUUUUCCGAAUUAGUUGCUAUUUAUGCUUUUAUCUUACUCUUUUCCGGACCCGAACUCUUUGGUAGACUUUUGAAAUGUCUGCUUUUCUCAUGAUUAUAUGUUCUCUGUUUUGUCUCAUGACUAUAAUGACACUUAAUAGGUCUCUAAUAUUGCAGUCUCUACUGAAUGCUUUGCCAGUUAUUUCAGUUGUUUUAUGUUACUGGCACUGUGACAUACCUCUCU
RNAcentral lists this unclassified non-coding RNA (572 nucleotides) under Hevea brasiliensis (rubber tree). Lineage: Eukaryota; Viridiplantae; Streptophyta; Magnoliopsida; Malpighiales; Euphorbiaceae. The record is from RNAcentral.